RNAcentral lists this ribosomal RNA (497 nucleotides) under uncultured bacterium. RNAcentral's name for it is "partial 16S ribosomal RNA". It matches the Rfam family "Bacterial small subunit ribosomal RNA", at positions 28 to 507 of the family's 1533-position model. The record is from RNAcentral.
GAUGAACGCUGGCGGCGUGCCUAAUACAUGCAAGUCGAGCGAACAGACGAGGAGCUUGCUCCUCUGAUGUUAGCGGCGGACGGGUGCGUAACACGUGGAUAACCUACCUAUAAGACUGGGAUAACUUCGGGAAACCGGAGCUACUACCGGAUAACAUGUUGAACCGCAUGGUUCAACAGUGAAAGACGGUCUUGCUGUCACUUAUAGCUGGAUCCGCGCCGCAUUAGCUAGUUGGUAAGGUAACGGCUUACCAAGGCAACGAUGCGUAGCCGACCUGAGAGGGAGGUCGGCCACACUGGAACUGAGACAGGGUCCAGACUCCGACGGGGGGCAGCAGUAGGGAAUCUUCCGCAAUGGACGAAAGCCUGACGGAGCAACGCCGCGGGAGUGAAGAAGGUCUUCGGAUCGGAGAGCGCUGUUAUUAGGGAAGAACAAAUGUGUAAGUAACUAUGCACGUCUUGACGGUACCUAAUCAGAAAGCCACGGCUAACUACGUG